RNAcentral lists this ribosomal RNA (253 nucleotides) under uncultured bacterium. RNAcentral describes it as "partial 16S ribosomal RNA". It matches the Rfam family "Bacterial small subunit ribosomal RNA", at positions 524 to 776 of the family's 1533-position model. The record is from RNAcentral.
GACAGAGGAGGCAAGCGUUAUCCGGAAUUAUUGGGCGUAAAGCGUGCGCAGGCGGCGAUUCAAGUCUGCUGUCAAAGGUCGGGGCUUAACCCCGGGAAGGCAGUGGAAACUGAUUAGCUAGAGUGCGGUAGGGGCAGAGGGAAUUCCCGGUGUAGCGGUGAAAUGCGUAGAGAUCGGGAAGAACACCAGUGGCGAAAGCGCUCUGCUGGGCCUGCACUGACACUGAGGGACGAAAGCUAGGGGAGCGAAAGGG